CCCACGCGGGGGCCAUCCUUCAGUAUCGCACUACGGUUCACUAUCACACAGUCAACAUGCCUCUUAAGAUCUACAAAAUGGACGCGAGUCCCCCUGCCAGGGCGGUGCUGAUGAUGGCCGAGCUUCUGGAGCUCAGACACGAAGCUGUGGACGUCAACCUGAUGGCUGGAGAGCACCUCACACCAGACUACUUGAAGAAGAACCCACAACAUACAGUACCAGUACUGGAAGAUGGUGACUUCUACCUCGCAGACAGUCACGCUAUUAACACAUAGUUAGCAUCCAAAUAUGGCGGCCCACUGUCUGCGCAGCUGUACCCUGCAGACUACCAAGUGAGAGCGACCAUCAACUCAAGGCUGUUCUUCGACAUUUCAGCCAUCCAAGGAGCCACGAGUCCUAUAGUAGGAGCACUUCUAAGUGGAGCAAUCACAUCACCCACUAAGGAACACAUCGACAAAUUGAACUCUGGCUAUGAAAUUUUAGACAAAUACUUACAGAAGACCAAAUUCGCGGCAGCAGAUCAUCUGACGGUGGCUGACAUUUCACUUGCAGCGUCUGUUUCAUCAGCAUCCAUCAUGGUCCCUAUUGACGAGAAGUACAGCAAACUGACGGCCUGGUUCAACGCAAUCCAGCAGGAGGACUGGUACAAGAAGGCCAAUGUGCCAGGAUUAGAAGCAUACAAAGCAUUCGUGUUCUCCAGAGUGAAGUUACAUAUAAGGCCAUGGCCAUUUACGUCGAGUCAGUACUUCAACCGGAUAGUCACCAUGGUCAUCAGGAUAUACAAGAAAGACGCCAGCCCACCAGCCAGGGCUGUCCUAAUGGCUGCUGCCAUCAUCGACUUAAAGUGUGAAGUCCAAGAUGUGGAGUUACCAUCAGGAGCUCACCUUUCUCCAGAAUACCUUGAGAAGAACACUCUACGUUCAGUACCCUUCUUAGAAGAUGGUGAUUUCUACCUAGCUGACAGUCAUGCCAUCAUCACAUACUUAGUAUCGAAAUAUGGUGCUGAACAUCGAUCCAAGUGGUACCCUUCUGAUUUGAGGGUAAGAGCGACAGUGGACCAGCGAAUGUACUUCGAUACUUCUGACCUGUUUCCUCACAUUAAGGAUAUUGUCAGUGUGAUUGUGACUCAAGGAGUGGGCCCAAAUGCUGACCAGAUUAAGGCAAUUAAUGCUGCUUAUGGAGUUUUGGAUCAGUAUCUCCAGAAGACCAAGUUCGUGGCAGCCAAUCAUAUGACGUUAGCUGAUGUGUCAUGUGUGGCGAGUGUGUCGUCACUAAAUAUCCUGUGUCCUGUCGAUGAGAAGUAUUCUUACCUCCUCAAAUGGUGGGAUGCCCUGAAGGAGGAGGAUUGGUACAAAAAGGCCAAUGAACCCGGAUUGGCUAAGUUAGAAGCGUAUAUUAAGUCGAAGUGGACAAAGUGAGGGUAUAAAAAUAUUUUGUUUUUCAGCUUCUUUCGCUAUUAAUUGGUAUUUUUAUAUUUUUGUAGGAUACUUGUAAUGU
RNA transcript from Spodoptera frugiperda (fall armyworm), 1497 nucleotides. RefSeq lists it as uncharacterized. Lineage: Eukaryota; Metazoa; Arthropoda; Insecta; Lepidoptera; Noctuidae. The transcript is spliced from 2 exons. The record is from RefSeq and is a predicted model, not a curated record.